GUGUGUAUAGCUCAGUGGUAAGCGCGUGCCUAGCAUGCAUGAGGUCCUGGAUUCAAUCCCUAGUACCUCCA
Molecule: transfer RNA, 71 nt
Filed under: Camelus bactrianus (Bactrian camel)
Lineage: Eukaryota; Metazoa; Chordata; Mammalia; Artiodactyla; Camelidae
Also listed under: 1 other name
Rfam family: tRNA
About the family: Transfer RNA (tRNA) molecules are approximately 80 nucleotides in length. Their secondary structure includes four short double-helical elements and three loops (D, anti-codon, and T loops).
Source: Rfam by way of RNAcentral